Molecule: ribosomal RNA, 253 nt
Filed under: uncultured bacterium
Lineage: Bacteria
Description: partial 16S ribosomal RNA
Rfam family: Bacterial small subunit ribosomal RNA
Source: RNAcentral
UACGUAGGUGGCAAGCGUUGUCCGGAAUUAUUGGGCGUAAAGCGCGCGCAGGCGGUCCUUUAAGUCUGAUGUGAAAGCCCACGGCUCAACCGUGGAGGGUCAUUGGAAACUGGGGGACUUGAGUACAGAAGAGAAGAGUGGAAUUCCACGUGUAGCGGUGAAAUGCGUAGAGAUGUGGAGGAACACCAGUGGCGAAGGCGACUCCUCGGUCUGUAACUGACGCUGAGGCGCGAAAGCGUGGGGAGCAAACAGG